This 404-nucleotide ribosomal RNA is filed under the name Verrucomicrobiota bacterium. Its description in RNAcentral is "Verrucomicrobia bacterium partial 16S ribosomal RNA". It matches the Rfam family "Bacterial small subunit ribosomal RNA", at positions 355 to 776 of the family's 1533-position model. Lineage: Bacteria; Pseudomonadati; Verrucomicrobiota. The record is from RNAcentral.
UGGGGAAUAUUGCACAAUGGGGGAAACCCUGAUGCAGCGACGCCGCGUGAGCGAAGAAGGUUUUCGAAUCGUAAAGCUCUGUCCUAUGAGAAGAUAAUGACGGUAUCAUAGGAGGAAGCCCCGGCUAAAUACGUGCCAGCAGCCGCGGUAAUACGUAUGGGGCGAGCGUUGUCCGGAAUUAUUGGGCGUAAAGCGCACGUAGGCGGACUUUUAAGUCAGGGGUGAAAUCCCGGGGCUCAACCCCGGAACUGCCUUUGAUACUGGAAGUCUUGAGUAUGGUAGAGGUGAGUGGAAUUCCGAGUGUAGAGGUGAAAUUCGUAGAUAUUCGGAGGAACACCAGUGGCGAAGGCGGCUCACUGGACCAUUACUGACGCUGAGGUGCGAAAGCGUGGGGAGCAAACAGG